Molecule: ribosomal RNA, 360 nt
Filed under: uncultured Latescibacterota bacterium
Lineage: Bacteria; Pseudomonadati; Candidatus Latescibacterota
Description: bacterial SSU rRNA
Rfam family: Bacterial small subunit ribosomal RNA
Source: RNAcentral
GAGGCACCUGCACAGGUGCUGCAUGGCUGUCGUCAGCUCGUGUCGUGAGAUGUUGGGUUAAGUCCCGCAACGAGCGCAACCCUUAUCCCCAGUUGCCAUCAGGUAAAGCUGGGAACUCUGGGGAGACUGCCGGUGAUAAACCGGAGGAAGGCGGGGAUGACGUCAAGUCCUCAUGGCCCUUACAUCCCGGGCUACACACGUGCUACAAUGGCAGGUACAGAGGGCUGCGAAGCCGCGAGGUGGAGCGAAUCCCAGAAAACCUGUCUCAGUCCGGAUUGAAGUCUGCAACUCGACUUCAUGAAGGCGGAAUCGCUAGUAACCGCGAAUCAGCAGGUCGCGGUGAAUACGUUCCCGGGCCUU